Molecule: ribosomal RNA, 497 nt
Filed under: uncultured bacterium
Lineage: Bacteria
Description: partial 16S ribosomal RNA
Rfam family: Bacterial small subunit ribosomal RNA
Source: RNAcentral
GAUGAACGCUGGCGGCGUGCUUAAUACAUGCAGGUCGAGCGAACGGACGCGAAGCUUGCUUCUCUGAUGUUAGCGGCGGACGGGUGAGUAACAUGUGGAUAACCUACCUAUAAGACUGGGAUAACUUCGGGAAACCGGCGCUAAUACCGGACGAUAUUUUGAUCCGUAUGGUUCAAUAGUGAAAGACGGUCUUGCUGUCACUUAUAGAUGGCUCUGCGCUGCAUUAGCUAGUUGGUAGGGUUACGGCUUACCAAGGCAACGAGGCAUGUCCGACGUGAGCGGCGGGUAGGCUGCCCUGGAACGUGAACACGCUCCAUGGGCCUGCGAGAGGCAGCAGAAUGCUACCGUCCGCAAUGGGCGGGAGCCUGGCGGAGCGGCGCCGCGUGAGAGAUGAAGGUCCUCCGAUCGUAAAACUCGGUUAUGGGUUAUAAACAAAUUUAUAAGUAACUGUGCACUUCUUGACGGUACCGAAUCAGAAAGCCACGGCUAACUACGUG